Molecule: ribosomal RNA, 253 nt
Filed under: uncultured bacterium
Lineage: Bacteria
Description: partial 16S ribosomal RNA
Rfam family: Bacterial small subunit ribosomal RNA
Source: RNAcentral
UACGUAGGGUGCAAGCGUUGUCCGGAAUUAUUGGGCGUAAAGAGCUCGUAGGCGGUUUGUCGCGUCUGCUGUGAAAAUCCAGGGCUUAACCCUGGACCUGCAGUGGGUACGGGCAGACUGGAGUGCGGUAGGGGAGAUCGGAAUUCCUGGUGUAGCGGUGAAAUGCGCAGGUAUCAGGAGGAACACCGGUGGCGAAGGCGGAUCUCUGGGCCGUAACUGACGCUGAGGAGCGAAAGCGUGGGGAGCGAACAGG